GCUUACACAUGCAAGUCGAGCGGUAAGGCCCUUCGGGGUACACGAGCGGCGAACGGGUGAGUAACACGUGAGCAACCUGCCCCUGACUCCGGGAUAAGCGGUGGAAACGCCGUCUAAUACCGGAUACGACCCGCCAUCUCAUGGUGGUGGGUGGAAAGUUUUCUCGGUUGGGGAUGGGCUCGCGGCCUAUCAGCUUGUUGGUGGGGUAACGGCCUACCAAGGCGAUUACGGGUAGCCGGCCUGAGAGGGCGACCGGCCACACUGGGACUGAGACACGGCCCAGACUCCUGCGGGAGGCAGCAGUGGGGAAUAUUGCGCAAUGGGCGAAAGCCUGACGCAGCGACGCCGCGUGGGGGAUGACGGCCUUCGGGUUGUAAACCUCUUUUACCACCAACGCAGGCUCCCAGUUCUCUGGGGGUUGACGGUAGGUGGGGAAUAAGGACCGGCUAACUACGUGCCAGCAGCCGCGGUAAUACGUAGGGUCCGAGCGUUGUCCGGAAUUAUUGGGCGUAAAGAGCUCGUAGGCGGCGUGUCGCGUCUGCUGUGAAAGACCGGGGCUUAACUCCGGUUCUGCAGUGGAUACGGGCAUGCUAGAGGUAGGUAGGGGAGACUGGAAUUCCUGGUGUAGCGGUGAAAUGCGCAGAUAUCAGGAGGAACACCGGUGGCGAAGGCGGGUCUCUGGGCCUUACCUGACGCUGAG
This 700-nucleotide ribosomal RNA is filed under the name Nocardiopsis sp. YIM 90567. Its description in RNAcentral is "bacterial SSU rRNA". It matches the Rfam family "Bacterial small subunit ribosomal RNA", at positions 46 to 750 of the family's 1533-position model. The record is from RNAcentral. Lineage: Bacteria; Bacillati; Actinomycetota; Actinomycetes; Streptosporangiales; Nocardiopsidaceae.